UACGUAGGGUGCAAGCGUUGUCCGGAAUUAUUGGGCGUAAAGAGCUUGUAGGCGGUUUGUCGCGUCUGCUGUGAAAUUUCGGGGCUCAACCCCGAACUUGCAGUGGGUACGGGCAGACUAGAGUGUGGUAGGGGAGACUGGAAUUCCUGGUGUAGCGGUGAAAUGCGCAGAUAUCAGGAGGAACACCGGUGGCGAAGGCGGGACUCUGGGCCGAUACUGACGCUGAGGAGCGAAAGCGUGGGGAGCAAACAGG
This 253-nucleotide ribosomal RNA is filed under the name uncultured bacterium. RNAcentral describes it as "partial 16S ribosomal RNA". It matches the Rfam family "Bacterial small subunit ribosomal RNA", at positions 524 to 776 of the family's 1533-position model. The record is from RNAcentral.